CGUAGGGGCGAGCGUUGCCCGGAUUCACUGGGCGUAAAGCGCGUGUAGGCGGUCUGUUAAGUCGGAUGUGAAAUCUCCGGGCUCAACUCGGAAACUGCAUCCGAUACUGGCAGACUUGAGGAUGGUAGAGGUCGGUGGAACAGCGAGUGUACCGGUGAAAUGGGCAGAUAUUCGCUAGAACACCAGUGGCGAAGGCGGCCGACUGGGCCAAUCCUGACGCUGAGACGCGAAAGCCAGGGUAGCGAACCGGAUUAGAUACCCGGGUAGUCCUGGCCGUAAACGGUGCGAACUAGGUGUGGGGGGCGUCAAGCCUUCUGUGCCGAAGCUAACGCAUUAAGUUCGCCGCCUGGGGAGUACGGCCGCAAGGCUA
RNAcentral lists this ribosomal RNA (370 nucleotides) under uncultured organism. RNAcentral describes it as "bacterial SSU rRNA". It matches the Rfam family "Bacterial small subunit ribosomal RNA", at positions 526 to 896 of the family's 1533-position model. The record is from RNAcentral.